This 497-nucleotide ribosomal RNA is filed under the name uncultured bacterium. RNAcentral describes it as "partial 16S ribosomal RNA". It matches the Rfam family "Bacterial small subunit ribosomal RNA", at positions 28 to 507 of the family's 1533-position model. The record is from RNAcentral.
GAUGAACGCUGGCGGCGUGCCUAAUACAUGCAAGUCGAGCGAACAGACGAGGAGCUUGCUCCUCUGACGUUAGCGGCGGACGGGUGAGUAACACGUGGAUAACCUACCUAUAAGACUGGGAUAACUUCGGGAAACCGGAGCUAAUACCGGAUAAUAUAUUGAACCGCAUGGUUCAAUAGUGAAAGACGGUUUUGCUGUCACUUAUAGAUGGAUCCGCGCCGCAUUAGCUAGUUGGUAAGGUAACGGCUUACCAAGGCAACGAUGCGUAGCCGACCUGAGAGGGUGGUCGGCCACACUGGAACUGAGACACGGUCCAGACUCCUACGGGAGGCAGCAGUAGGGAAUCGUACGCAAUAGGCGAAAGCUUGACGGAGCAACGCCGCGUGAGUGAUGAAGGUCUUCGGAUCGUAAAACUCUGUUAUUAGGGAAGAACAAAUGUGUAAGUAACUAUGCACGUCUUGACGGUACCUAAUCAGAAAGCAACGGCUAACUACGUG